Molecule: ribosomal RNA, 311 nt
Filed under: uncultured soil bacterium
Lineage: Bacteria
Description: bacterial SSU rRNA
Rfam family: Bacterial small subunit ribosomal RNA
Source: RNAcentral
AGAUUGAACGCUGGCGGCAGGCCUAACACAUGCAAGUCGAGCGGCAGCACGGGUACUUGUACCUGGUGGCGAGCGGCGGACGGGUGAGUAAUGCCUAGGAAUCUGCCUGGUAGUGGGGGAUAACGCUCGGAAACGGACGCUAAUACCGCAUACGUCCUACGGGAGAAAGCAGGGACCUUCGGACCUUGCGCUAUCAGAUGAGCCUAGGUCGAUUAGCUAGUUGGUGAGGUAAUGGCUCACCGAAGGCGACGAUCCGUAACUGGUCUGGAGGGGAUGAUCAGUCACACUGGAACUGAGACACGGUCCAGACU